AGGACGAACGCUGGCGGCGUGCCUAACACAUGCAAGUCGAGCGAUGAAGCUUCUUCGGAAGUGGAUUAGCGGCGGACGGGUGAGUAACACGUGGGUAACCUGCCUCAUAGUGGGGAAUAGCCUUUCGAAAGGAAGAUUAAUACCGCAUAAGAUUGUAGCUUCGCAUGAAGUAGCAAUUAAAGGAUUUAUUCGCUAUGAGAUGGACCCGCGGCGCAUUAGCUAGUUGGUGAGGUAAACGGGCCCACCAAGGCGACGAUGCGUAGCCGACCUGAGAGGGUGAUCGGCCACAUUGGAACUGAGACACGGGUCCAGACUCCUACGGGAGGCAGCAGUGGGGAAUAUUGCACAAUGGGGGAAACCCUGAUGCAGCAACGCCGCGUGAGUGAUGACGGUCUUCGGAUUGUAAAGCUCUGUCUUUAGGGACGAUAAUGACGGUACCUAAGGAGGAAGCCACGGCUAACUACGUG
Molecule: ribosomal RNA, 467 nt
Filed under: uncultured bacterium
Lineage: Bacteria
Description: bacterial SSU rRNA
Rfam family: Bacterial small subunit ribosomal RNA
Source: RNAcentral